CUGGUGGGGAUAUUUAACAACUCUUUGACUAUCAAUAAGCUUCACUAUCAAUGAGCUUGACUAUCAAUAAGCUUGACUAGCAAUGAGCUUGACUAUCAAUAAGCUUGACUAUCAAUGAGCUUGACUAUCAAUAAGCUUCACUAUCAAUGAGCUUGACUAUCAAUAAGCUUGACUAUCAAUAAGCUUGACUAUCAAUGAGCUUGACUAUCAAUAAGCUUGACUAGCAAUGAGCUUGACUAUC
Molecule: long non-coding RNA, 241 nt
Filed under: Mytilus galloprovincialis (Mediterranean mussel)
Lineage: Eukaryota; Metazoa; Mollusca; Bivalvia; Mytilida; Mytilidae
Source: RNAcentral